UAAUGAUAGCACUGUAUUUCUUUAUUUUAUUGUGGCAUGGUUUCGAUUUUUGUGUUUUCGAAGCUAGGAAAAACAUAUUUCCAGAAGUCUUUCUGGUUUUCUACGAUAAACGAUUAUCGAUCGAGUCCACUGGAACAAUCGCAUAUCGCUGAUGAAUAGAAUUUUUUACGUGGAAUAAUAAUCUUGACUACGUUAUUAUUCGAGAGACGAACCGUGACAGCUCCAAUUAUCCCGCUAAUGUAAUAGUCGUUGGUGAAGUGUCCCCGAAAUUUUCGUAGAACUGAAUUCGUAUUCAAAAUCCUUCUCUACACACAACCAAGCAAGAGCAUAACAACAACUACCAACAGAUGCAUUUGGUGUAUACAGUCAACUAACGAUGUGCUACUGCGAACACAAUAUGUUUCCACGAUAAAACCGAAACGAUGAAACAGAAGAGAACUUUCCCGCGGAGAUAAACGAGACACAUACCUAGAGAACGUUCAGAAACUGGGUCAAUCCGAAAGCAUUUGGGUCAACCAGACGGAAGUCCCUAAGGGAAACACGAUAAGGCAUGUUUGGUGGAAUUUAUGUCUCGUAAUUCGAAAACGCAAGAUGGAAUCAUAGAUUUCACCAUGGAUUACAGGUGGUUAAUAUUUGUUAUUAAUGGAAUUUGAUUUGACUUAUUUUCAAUAGUAAUUUUCUAAUUGUUUUACGCCUGACGGAAUUCAAUUUUUACAAUAUGAAUCACGUAGCGUUUCCAGAGAAUUGCGAUGAUUUUCGAUUACCAUAUCAUAUUUAUUCGUAUUAAUCAAAUCGUUCAUAAAAAAACGAGAUAUUACCUUUUUCGA
RNAcentral lists this long non-coding RNA (827 nucleotides) under Apis dorsata (giant honeybee). Its description in RNAcentral is "uncharacterized LOC102679519, transcript variant X2". The record is from RNAcentral. Lineage: Eukaryota; Metazoa; Arthropoda; Insecta; Hymenoptera; Apidae.